AGAAAUGAUCUUGUAUCAUGUGGAAGGUUCUUGUGUCCACUGAAUGAAGACGACAAUAUGUUAGCUGACAAGUGAGAACUGGAGACACAAUGAGGACCAUUGCUGGCCACUGCAGAGGGGCUGAUGUUUUGGCGCUUGCUUCCGGAAGUGUGUUUGGAGUAAGGCUCCUGCGUGGCAGUGCCGCUCGGCAAAGGCUCGUGUGCUGUGCUGAAGAUGUUUCUGGCCUUGGUAGCUAAUCUCUUCUCACAGAUUAAGGCCUGCGGGACGACUGGGGUGCAGUGGCCCUACUUUUCCUUU
Molecule: non-coding RNA, 297 nt
Organism: Peromyscus maniculatus bairdii (prairie deer mouse)
Lineage: Eukaryota; Metazoa; Chordata; Mammalia; Rodentia; Cricetidae
Source: RefSeq, a predicted model, not a curated record